Molecule: ribosomal RNA, 287 nt
Filed under: uncultured bacterium
Lineage: Bacteria
Description: partial 16S ribosomal RNA
Rfam family: Bacterial small subunit ribosomal RNA
Source: RNAcentral
GAUGAACGCUAGCGGCAGGCUUAAUACAUGCAAGUCGAGGGGCAGCAGGGUGUAGCAAUACAUCGCUGGCGACCGGCAAACGGGUGCGGAACACGUACGCAACCUUCCUUUAAGUGAGGAAUAGCCCAGGGAAACUUGGAUUAAUACCUCGUAAUAUUAUGAAGUGGCAUCACUUUAUAAUUAUAGCUCAGGCGCUUAAAGAUGGGCGUGCGACUGAUUAGGAGUUGGCGGAGUAACAGCCCACCAAGCCUGCGAUCAGUAACUGGUGUGAGAGCACGACCAGUCAC